AAAUAAUUUUACAAGCACUUGGGAAUCGCAUCCGUCCCCUGAAGAAAAGUUUUCAAAGCCCUAAACUAAUUCCCCCAUUCCAUUGUGUCUGCUUUGUGAUUACAGAUACACGACGAUCUAGAGAAGGAUCCGGACUAUUCUGGCUCUGGCUUUGGACCGGAUGACGAGGACGCCGAGCCGGAUCAUCACUCGCAGCACGGUUCGCACAACACGCGCAUCUCGCAGACCGGCGGCUCCAGCAUAAACAGUAAGCAUAAUUCGAACGACAACAGCCACAACGACGACCUCGACCACAUAUCGAGUAGAUUCAACAACAACAACAACAACCUGAACCAAAUCGACAACAACAACAGCCAGAAUAUUAAUUACAAUAAUAAUUAUAAUAAUAAUAAUAAUCCCAACCUUAAUAACAAUCACCAUCCAGCGAAUAGUGGCACAAUCAUUGGUAGUAGCACCACAGCGAACCAUAACAGUAAUCAGAAUCACAUCGGCGGCCAGAGCGGUGGCAUCAUCAGUGGCAGUGGUGGUGAGAUCGGUGGUCAUAGUGGCACUGGCAUUAACACAAUCGGUAAAGAUCAAGCUAGUUUUGUAGCUACUCUAAGCGAGACAUUCUAUCUUCUACUACUUCCACUACUUCAACUUCAACUCCUCCCUCUUCUACCCACCACCACCACACCACAGUACACCACAUUUUAGUUAUUACAAAUCCAACAAUUACACCAUCAACAGAUACAGAGCCGAAAACAACAACAACAACAGCAGCAACAGAUACAGUUACAGUUACAACAGUCAUUGCCAGCUUAGAUUAUAGUUAUGUUAGAUCUAGAGACAACAACACUAACAAUCAAUCAUUCACAACAUCUACAAGAACACCAACACCAACAACCCCAUCUCUAUAUCCAGCAGCUCAUACACCAACACAAACCUCAUCCACAACCUCAACAACAACAAGCAGUUCACCAACAACGACAAGCAGCAGCAGCAGCACCACCACCACCAGCACCAGUACGACAACUGCGGCCACAACCACAUCAACCACAGCUGCCUCGAAUCGCACCCAAACCACGCCUAAGCCCCUUGUUGUCGAUUCCACCACAGCGAGCCGUCCCUUACCCCACUUCCCAGCCUUCGAUGAGGAGCUCGAUGUGGAUGAGGAUGCCAGUGGCGAUGGCAUCGAUGUGGAAGGUGGCGGCGAGGAUGAUGACGAGGGUGACGAUGACGACAUCAUCAUUGAUCAUCCCGAUUCCGGGAAGCCAAAGUUUGCAGUGCCCGUUCCCGAUGGUAGCGAUAACAUCGAUCAUGAUUCUGAUCAUGAUAUCGAUAGCGAUACCGAUGAUGGCGAUGGUGAUAAUGAUGACACCGACGAUGAUGAUAGCAUCAUCGAUGUGGAUGGCGGCAAUGAGGAUGGCACUACCAACGGGAAUGGAAAUGGAAAUGGAAUCCGUGGCAACGAUGGAGACCUCAACACAGAGCGCGGACGUCAGUGGUUUUUAUUUUUACUCCUCUUUUUUAUACUUUCCUUUUGAUUAUUUGCUUUUUUUUGUUUGUCUAUCCGUUUUGCCUUUGCUUUUUAUGUUGUGUUUUUUGUAUUUUGUGUUUCAUUGUUGCUUCUUGUUUUGUCCUCCUCCCACCCACAAUGCGAUUCCUUUUUGUGUUAUGUCUCUGCCCCCAGCUUAUGUUUUGGAGAGACACCAAUUGUGGUAUCUCCGGCACUGCAUUCCUUUUAUCGUAUUUUAUUUAACAUUAUAUUUAUUUUAUUUGUAUCUUCUAAAGCACUUUUUUCAACAGCAAACAAAGUUUUCUCGCUUGCAUUGUAGUUGAUUUCUUGGGUAUUUGCUUUGGUUUCUGUUACGUUACGUUAUGUUACGUAGUUUGAUUGGUGCACACAUUCAAGUAUAUAGAAUAUUCCUUACAAUUACUUACAUAUAUAUAUUUGUUAAGUUUUACCUUAGUUUUUCUCUACUGCGCGCUCUGGCAACGAACAAUGCUGCGGGGUUUCCUUUUGUGUGGACUUUUACAUGGAAUUCCUCCCCGCACACCCCGGCUAUACAAUGGCCAAUACACCAUAAUUCCCACACUUUCAUUCUGUGACCAAUUUUCAUCCAUUGACCAUACCAUUCCAUUCGAUUCAUUCAUUCAUUCAUUCAGUCUGCUUUUGGCAUUUAUUCAUUCAUUUGUUCGAUUGGAAAAACUCCCGCAGAGCCAACACAAUUCCAUUGGCUCGAACCUCAACCUCAACCUCACGCUCAUUCUCAUUCACAUUCUCAUAGACUUUAGUGUUAACCCUAGGAUAAAGCUAUUCUAAGUCACAUAAUUUAAGGAUAGCUUAAGUGUGUUUUAUGUACGCAUCAAAUGAGAACGGUAGACGGGGCAUCCACCAUCCAUCGAUUCAUCGAUUGAGAUGCACCCGCACACGCCCUCCAUCAAGGUUCUGCAUAUAGAGAGUCCUGCCCUAGGCCCAAAGUUCCAUCAACACUGUCGCGGCUCCCCCCUGAAGAACCGCCCUGGAAUCACACUAAGCCGCACAGUGAUUUUGUGCUUUGUUGCUCUUCGAGUGGAAAGCACUUGGAAAGCGCUCCUCACUGCGCUCCACUUGAAAUGAAAAAUCACCAAGUCCCUGGCAAUGGCAGUGGCAAGGAGCGCCUCCAAAUCCACUCCACACAAAACUCCCAACGACUUGGGGGCAUUGUUGCUCUUACCCCGAAACCCAUUCAUCCUUUGUGUAUGUGGCAAACACUAUUUAUGAAGCGAGUGGGGAGGGAGGGAGAGCACAAACAAAGUCUAAUGGGAACCCAGGAGUGGAUCUGAUAGGUGUAUGGGCACUGUGUGUGUGUGCGUGCGUGGGCUGCGAAUAUAUGGCCAGCUUUGAUGUUUGUGCCAGUGCCAGUGCCACGCCCAGUAUAAACACGAAGCACAAACCAUGUGGCAUAUGGCAGGCGUCUAGCACACAGCAGGACCACAAUUUCGGCCAUAAUUGCGUCCACAGCUGUCCAUAUGCUUUAUACUGAGCAUUAAAUCCUGCAGUUCCUAGUGCCAGCAAGUCCAGCAUUAAGUGCAUUUCUCCCCGUCCCACAUCCAAUCGGAGAUACACGGAUGGAUACACCUUUAUUGGCUUCGUGCAAGCAGACAGACAGACAGACAGACAGACACACAAUCAGUUUGAUGGAUACACAUAGACAGGAAUGCUCUAUCACAGGAUGAAGUUAUCUCAAAAUCAGAAGAUGGCAGAUGAGAAAAUGGCAUUAAAAGGCAAAUAUUUCAUUUAUAGCUUCACCGUGGAUGGAGUUCUCGUCGGGUCAGACGCGACUUUGAGAUGUGUGCUUCGAUUCGAUCAUUUUCCAAUGAUUUGCUUGAGUUUCAAUUCGAUUACGAGUGUGUGUCUGGCGGCAAUUCAAUAAGCCUUUUGGCCAUUACCUAAUUAGCAUGCCACUCUCCCAAUCUCACUUACUCCGCACCAAUCUACUCCCCCAAGGAGGGGUGGAGCAUAAGCCACACACAUGUGUGUGGGUAUGUUUCAUGGGGCAAAGUACAUGGGCUAAACAAGCAAAUUGUUUGUCUUAAGCAUAGGGAGGCCAAAGCGGAUUGGGAUCCAGAUGGAAAGAUGAAAACAGACUAGGGGUCAUGGGGUUAAACAAUGGCUCAACAAAGCACAAAGAACACACACGUAAUAAGUGAAGUGGAGGGAGGGAUGUGGGUGUGGGUGUGGGUGUGGGUGUGGCUGUCAAUUAAAUUAAUUUAAAUUUACUUUCUUUGACAGCCAAAUUGUCAUUCAAAUUGCUCUUCUCUUUCAACAUGUCGCUCUCGUGUCAGAUCCGUGAAUACUUUUGAGGUAGGUGUCCAUGGAUUCACCAUCUAUCAUCUCGAAACUGCUCUCGCCUUACGCUGAAGCCUACUGAGAUUUCCCCCAUGCAAAUUUGUCACAAUUUGCAUUACUCCGCCUCUCGGCUGCUAACUUUUUUCAUUUGGCCAUAACUUUUCCGUAUUGCUCAUUAGCGUGAAAUGAGCUCAAAAGUUGGGCUCGUGCGGGUGGGCAAACAAUCAGACAGACAGUCAGUCGGAUGGAUGGGUGGUAGGAGCCGCCGGCAGUACGUAGUCUAGUUUUAUAAGACUUGAAGUUCGGCAUAAGGUAUCCUUUCUACUUGUAAACGUAGUCCCGAAUCACAACUCUACUAACCGUAAGCCUUGUAUAUAUCGCAUAAAAUAUCAUUAACACACGUAACAUAACCACCCUGAAACAGAUAUAGACACUCGAUCCGAUCGGAUAUCGGAGUACUCACCCGCAACAACAGAUCUAUGUCUCUCACUCACAUAAACACACACACACACACACACACACACACACACACACACAUAAACACACACACUAUCUGUUUUUGUAUUAUUUUGCUUGCACGUCAUGGGCAUUCUCGUAAAUGGAUAAUUUUAAUCCCCAGCUAUGACACUCAAUCUCAUCUCUGACUUUAUGCUCUAUUUUCUUGGCACAGCGGGAGGUGGCAGCAGCGUGCACGAGUUGGACCCGAAUACGAACGUAAACAGCCAGCCCUCCGACACAAAGCCCGUCGACCACAGGCCCAACGGCAACGAGGUGGUCAUCAUGAGCGAGGACGAUCGUACGUCGAGCUUCUUCUCGCAGCCAGGAAUACUGGCAGGUAAGAGGCCAUUCCCUCCUUGUUCACCCGACAAUCUCUGACCAUACAUUUUUUCUCAUCCCUGCACCUUUAGCUGUCAUUGGCGGUGCCGUGGUUGGCCUGCUUUGCGCCAUUCUUGUGGUGAUGUUCAUCGUGUACCGCAUGCGGAAAAAGGACGAGGGCUCCUACGCCCUGGAUGAGCCGAAGCGCUCCCCGGCCAACAAUUCCUAUGCGAAAAAUGCGAAUAAUCGCGAGUUCUACGCCUGAGAUAAUGGCACAUCGCGCAGGUAUUAAGUGAGCCAUGAGUGAGGAUCCACCCGUAUGGAGAUCCAUCUCGAACGGGAUACGGAUCUUAGCGGAGGAGGAGAUGACGGCUCAUCUCGAUACACUGUGCGGAGUGCGAAGCGCGGAAGGAGCAGCGCCAUCAGCAGCCAUCUGCCACAAUGAGUAAUCAUCAGCAACAGCAACAGCAAACAGCAAAAGCAAAAGCAACAAAACUAACACAAAUUCAAUGAAAAUCGAAGGCAUCUUCGGAUCACAUACAAUUUUUCGUUGGGGGGGUAAACUAAACGCAUUAAACCAUGAACAACCAAGUAAAAGCGUGCAGAGAUUCGAGAGGAACACAUAAACAAAAACAAUUCAAAACUUACCUGUAAGCUAAUGCCGGACGGUUGACGGAGGAGGGCGACUUUUCUAAUUAAGUAAAUUUUAAGCGACGAAAACAAAAGGAAAACCAAUAUCAAAUAUGAAUGGAAGCGCACGCAAAUCGUGCGAAAUCUAAUAUAUAAUUAAUAUAUAUUAUAUUCAUAGUGAAACCAAUAUAAGGGCGGGCAAAAUUAAGCGAAUUAAUUAUGAAUUACGAGUAUGUAGAGCAAAGGCAGGAGGAGAGCGAGAAAUAAUACCUAUAAUAAUACCACAAAACACGACGCAGCGCCUACAUGGACGAUGUGGAUGGAGGCAGCGACAGACGCAUAUUGAAUACACAAUUAUGAAUAUACGAGUAUAUGUUAGCUGAAUAAUGGAAGCGAAUUGGAUAUAUCAUGAUUAUACACCCGCUCUCGAAAGACCCCUUUAAAUCCAAUGGUCAGUCACUUCCGCCAUCCAUUUCACACCACGGAAAAAAGAGAAUAAAAGUUAAUCCGUUGGGAAUACCAAUAAUUAUUGUGAAUUGCGAAUUGUGCGACACAUAACAAGCGGAAAUUGAUUCAUAAAUUAAUGUUUUUAGGUUAAACAUAAGCAAAACUAUGUAAUUAUUAGUGUAAUUCCUAAAACAAAAACAAGAAGAACCACACAAAUGGAAAAAUACAAAAAAAAAACUUUAAGAGAAAAACGAAAAAUACUAAAUGAAGCAAAAAAACAGAAUACGAACACUCUCUGAACCUUCCUGGCAACUAAACAAACUAAAAAGGAAUUAGUAAUGAAAUGAAGAGAACUAUUUCUACUUUUUUCUAAAUAAAAAAAACACACACAAAAACUUGAAUAUUUAUUGAAAUUGAGAUUGAAAAUAAUAAUGAAAAACGAAAUCGAAAAGUAUAUAAGGACAUAAAACGUCCAGAAAGCGAUUGUACAUUAAUUUAGUAUUCCAUAUGGGUUUUAAAAUUAAUCGGCCAGUCUCCCACGCUCGACUCCACUGCUUCUUCCAUGGCUAAGAAUCAAAAUCGGAUUACGCAUUGAUUAUUGUGCAUUUAUUUAGUUUUUACGUUCGCUGUCAGUGACAAUUGUUUAUUUUUGCAAGCAAAAUACAAGUCCGAAGAACGAAGAACACAAAACAACACGAGCCAACCCAAUCCAAUCCAAUCCAAUCAAAUAAAAUCAAAUCCAAUCCAUUACCACAUGCAAUAGUAAAAAUUACUUGUUAAGUUUACAAUUGAAAUGAAACGCAAACCAGCAGGAAAUGUUAAUGACUCAGCCCUCAAAUUAGCUGCAAUACUUGUUUAAUUGUUAGUCAACCCAUAUUCUCUCCAGCUCUAAUGCCAUAUUUUCAUUACGAAAAGAAGUUAUAAGAACGAAAAAUACUAAUACAUAAUACAUUUAUAUACAAGUAUAUAUAAUUAGCAACAUAAAUCAAUUGUGUGUGUAAAUGUGUGUAAUGCAUAAAUAAUUAAUUAAACAUACAUAUACAUACAUACUACUACUGCGACAACAGAGCGUGCACCAAAGGGGGAAGGAAGCUCUCGGAGAACAUCAUCAUCGAUACAUACUCGUACUUCCCCCAAAUCUAAACCUAAAACCAACCCAAACUCACACAAACAAACAAAAAAGAGAACAACAGCCACAGACACAGCCACAGCCACAUCAGCAAGAGCGACAACAAGAACUAAACAUUUUUCUGAAUACAACUUUUUCUACACUGUAAAAAACGCAACUGCAACUCUUUUGAUAUGUACGAGUACUAUGUUUUGUCCUACUCUCGACCCAUAGUACCUAUUUGUCCAAUUUUACAUACACUUUUUUUGCUAAUUUGUAAGCUUAGUUUGUUAGUUUUUUAAAUGCGCUGAAUGUACUGAGAAAUUGGUUUUGAUUUGCUAAAUAAACUGGUAUAAAACUAAUUUAAACAAAACGAAA
This 7193-nucleotide long non-coding RNA is filed under the name Drosophila guanche. Lineage: Eukaryota; Metazoa; Arthropoda; Insecta; Diptera; Drosophilidae. The record is from RNAcentral.